Long non-coding RNA from Haliotis rufescens (red abalone), 278 nucleotides. RefSeq lists it as uncharacterized. Lineage: Eukaryota; Metazoa; Mollusca; Gastropoda; Lepetellida; Haliotidae. The transcript has 2 exons. The record is from RefSeq and is a predicted model, not a curated record.
UUUUCCGAGCUAAACAGGCCUGAGUUAUCCCCCUUAGAUUAUGACGUAAUUGGUGCCAAUUUAACUGGGUCCCUGUCUUGUCACAACGCAAAAGAUAUCAAGUACCAGUUUAUGGUGAGACAACAUGGCAUCCGAUACCUUGCCUGGUCCGAAGAAGUUCCCUUGACCCUUCAAGAAAUCGCAAAACCAUACGAUUUUGAACCAAAACAAGCAAGCUUCGCGAAUCUAUCUACACCUCCUAAACAAGAGGUUCACUUUGGGGAUUUGCAGAAAUAGUU